RNAcentral lists this transfer RNA (74 nucleotides) under Granulibacter bethesdensis CGDNIH1. It matches the Rfam family "tRNA". From Rfam's summary of the family: Transfer RNA (tRNA) molecules are approximately 80 nucleotides in length. Their secondary structure includes four short double-helical elements and three loops (D, anti-codon, and T loops). Further hydrogen bonds mediate the characteristic L-shaped molecular structure. tRNAs have two regions of fundamental functional importance: the anti-codon, which is responsible for specific mRNA codon recognition, and the 3' end, to which the tRNAs corresponding amino acid is attached (by aminoacyl-tRNA synthetases). tRNAs cope with the degeneracy of the genetic code in two manners: having more than one tRNA (with a specific anti-codon) for a particular amino acid; and 'wobble' base-pairing, i.e. permitting non-standard base-pairing at the 3rd anti-codon position. Lineage: Bacteria; Pseudomonadati; Pseudomonadota; Alphaproteobacteria; Acetobacterales; Acetobacteraceae. The record is from Rfam by way of RNAcentral.
GCGCCCUUAGCUCAGUUGGAUAGAGCACUCGCCUUCUAAGCGAGGGGUCGCUGGUUCGAAUCCAGCAGGGCGCG